Phoenix dactylifera (date palm) is the source of this 1194-nucleotide non-coding RNA. NCBI's taxonomy places the organism in Eukaryota, Viridiplantae, Streptophyta, Magnoliopsida, Arecales, Arecaceae. The record is from RefSeq and is a predicted model, not a curated record.
GGGGCUCGAUCGGGCCUGGAUCCGCCACCCAAUGGAUCGAUGGCUGUUUGGAUCAGAAUUUGAUCGGAUGGGUAUGACUGCCCGAUCGAGUUGCCUAAAUUUGGCAUCGGUUACUGAUCCGGCGAGGUGGAAGGAUCUGAGAGUAGAGAUGGAGGGGACCGUGUUCACCCCCUCGUUGGAAGGAAUGAAUCAUGUCAAGUCAGAGGACGGGAUAAUGCUCACCAAACCUUUUCUGGAUGUCUGCAAGCUCAUCCUGCCUGUGUUAGAUAAAUUUGGAGCUGCUAUGUCACUUGUAAAGUCAGAUAUAGGAGGCAACAUAGCAAGGCUGGAAACUAAAUAUGCGUCUGAUCCUUCAAAAUUUGAACACCUGUACAGCAUGGUGCAAGUAGAAGUCGAAUCUAAAACAGCUAAAGGUUCGUCAAGCUGUACCAAUGGUCUUCUGUGGUUAACAAGGGCCAUGGACUUCUUGGUGGAACUAUUCCGUAACUUGCUUGAGCAUCCAGAUUGGACUAUGUCACAGGCCUGCACAGAAUCCUACAGCAAGACCUUAAAGAAAUGGCAUGGCUGGCUUGCUAGUUCUAGCUUUACGAUUGCCAUGAAACUUGCUCCAGAUAGGAAGAAAUUUAUGGAGGUUAUUGGUGGCUCAGGUGACAUAAAUGCAGACAUAGAGAAAUUCUGCACAAACUUUUCUCCUCUUCUUGCAGAGAACCACAAGUUUUUGGCUAGUGUUGGUCUGGAUGAUCUUAAGGCUUCUUGAUGUAGAAAUCCUUCUGUCAUGAUCUUAUCUUUUGUGAUCCCUUCCUUGCUGCCAAUUAUAUUUCACUUUUGUUUAAAGGAAAAAAAUGGACAGUAAAUAAGGCAUCCAUAUAGCUGGUUGCCGAGAUUAAUGCAGUGUGAAGUUGGUUACUUGUUUUUGGAGCCGAAUUAUAAGGCAUGAUAGGGGACUGCCGCAUUCAGGGGUUAUUAGUCUGAUCUGAUGUCUGAAUUCUAAGAAAAUUCUGUAGGAGGCCAUGCCUCUCAUUCUAAACUAACCCAUUUCAAGCAUUUUUGGUGGUCAGGUCGUUCUUUUUCCAUUUCCUUUGUAGAAUCCAUCAGAAAAUCAGUAUAAUACUGUGAUAAAAUAUUUAUAGCGUGUCUAUUUUUACAUUGAUCAGUUAGUGGUAAUUUGUUAAGAGUUAAAAUUGCACCAGCAAA